This 275-nucleotide ribosomal RNA is filed under the name uncultured bacterium. Its description in RNAcentral is "partial 16S ribosomal RNA". It matches the Rfam family "Bacterial small subunit ribosomal RNA", at positions 79 to 354 of the family's 1533-position model. The record is from RNAcentral.
CUUUCUCCGCCGGCGACCGGCGCACGGGUGAGUAACACGUAUGCAACCUGCCCCUGUCAGGGGGACAACCCGCCGAAAGGCGGGCUAAACCCGCGUAUAUGCACCGGGGCAUCCCGGAGGCAGGAAAGGCUUCGGCCGGACAGGGAUGGGCAUGCGGCGCAUUAGGCAGUAGGCGGGGUAACGGCCCACCUAACCGACGAUGCGUAGGGGUUCUGAGAGGAAGGUCCCCCACACUGGUACUGAGACACGGACCAGACUCCUACGGAAGGCAGCAG